GUCUAUAACCAUACCACCCUGAACAUGUCCAAUCUUGUCUGAUCUCAGAAGCUAAGCACGGUUGGGUCUGGUUAGUACUUGGAUGGGAGAAACCUGGUACCUGUUGGCA
Molecule: ribosomal RNA, 109 nt
Organism: Chlorocebus sabaeus (green monkey)
Lineage: Eukaryota; Metazoa; Chordata; Mammalia; Primates; Cercopithecidae
Source: Ensembl